RNAcentral lists this ribosomal RNA (478 nucleotides) under uncultured Planctomycetaceae bacterium. Its description in RNAcentral is "bacterial SSU rRNA". It matches the Rfam family "Bacterial small subunit ribosomal RNA", at positions 29 to 505 of the family's 1533-position model. Lineage: Bacteria; Pseudomonadati; Planctomycetota; Planctomycetia; Planctomycetales; Planctomycetaceae. The record is from RNAcentral.
AAUGAACGUUGGCGGCAUGGAUUAGGCAUGCAAGUCGCGCGAGAAGUCAUGAUUAGCUUGCUAUGAAUUGACGGACAGCGGCGAAAGGGAGAGUAACGUGUGGUUACAUGCCUUGGGGACCAGGAUAGUAGCGGGAAACUGCUAGUAAUACUGGAUAAUAUCUACGGAUCAAAUGGUGUGAUUCCGCCCUGAGAUUGGACCGCAUACUAUUAGCUUGUUGGCGGGGUAAUGGCCCACCAAGGCUUCGAUGGUUACCGGGUGUGAGAGCAUGGCCCGGCUCACUGGGACUGAGACACUGCCCAGACACCUACGGGUGGCUGCAGUCGAGAAUCUUUGUCAAUGGGCGAAAGCCUGAACAAGCGAUGCCGCGUGCGGGAUGAAGGCCCUCGGGUUGUAAACCGCUGUCAGUUGUUAGGAAAUGCUAUAGGGCACUCUCUAUAGUUUGACCGAUCAUCAGAGGAAGGACGGGCUAAGUUCG